ACGCCUACGGGACGCCGCAGUAUUUCCUCUUCUUCCCUUUUCUCAAUCCUUACCGAGCAACGCCGCGUGAAUGAAGAAGGCCUUCGGGUUGUAAAAUUCUGUUAUAAGGGAAGAAAGGUGAUAGGAGGAAAUGACUAUCAAUUGACGGUACCUUAUGAGAAAGCCACGGCUAACUACGUGCCAGCAGCCGCGGUAAUACGUAGGUGGCAAGCGUUAUCCGGAAUUAUUGGGCGUAAAGAGCGCGCAGGUGGUUAAUUAAGUCUGAUGUGAAAGCCCACGGCUUAACCGUGGAGG
RNAcentral lists this ribosomal RNA (294 nucleotides) under uncultured bacterium. Its description in RNAcentral is "partial 16S ribosomal RNA". It matches the Rfam family "Bacterial small subunit ribosomal RNA", at positions 335 to 621 of the family's 1533-position model. The record is from RNAcentral.